UACACAUGGUGGGCAGCUCUGGAAC
This 25-nucleotide non-coding RNA is filed under the name Mus musculus (house mouse). Lineage: Eukaryota; Metazoa; Chordata; Mammalia; Rodentia; Muridae. The record is from RNAcentral.